RNA transcript from Carcharodon carcharias (great white shark), 2256 nucleotides. It is a transcript of the gene named archaemetzincin-2, with no coding region annotated. The transcript has 9 exons. The record is from RefSeq and is a predicted model, not a curated record. Lineage: Eukaryota; Metazoa; Chordata; Chondrichthyes; Lamniformes; Lamnidae.
GGUGGGUUUUUUUUUUAAAGCCGUCAAUUAAAAUGAUGUCUCCUUGCUCCCUUCCCCCAUCAACUCAUGGACAAGAUGGAGACUAUCAGACACAAUGAAGAGAUGCUGAGGACAGCUCUGAUAUCUAAUCAUAAGGAUGUAAUUGAACUGUAUCAGAAAUUCAAUCCAAGGGAGAAACAGCUCCUAGAAGAAGCAUUUCGGCCAGAUGCCACCCUUUUCAAACCCAUUGAGUUGCAUUUGAAGUCUGACUGGAUCCUCAGCCACCCGGAACCAAAGCAAGAUUUCUAUGCGUUUUACAUCAGCCCACAUAGAAAAACACCAGUUCCUGGGAAAAACAUUAUUUACAUUCAGACCAUUGGUUCAUUUGGCGUUUCAGAGGCAACUACUGAGAGAUAUAUACACUGGUUAAAGGAAUACUGUGAAGCAUUUUUCUAUGGUCUGAAGAUCAAAUUCUUGGAUCCCGUUUCAGUAUCCCAAAUCGGUUGUGUGUUCCGUAUCAAUACAUAUUCACACAAUCUGCAGAUACAUUCAGGUAGUAUUCUUAAGUACCUGAAGAAGAAAAAGCCUAAAGAUGCUUUCUGUAUUGUUGGAAUUACAAUGAUUGACCUUUAUCCAGAAGAUUCCUGGAAUUUUGUGUUUGGACAAGCAUCUCUUACAGAAGGGAUGGGUGUUUUUAGCUUUGCUCGAUAUGAUGAUGAUUUUUACACCAUGAACUACAAAGGAAAACUGAAGAGAAAAAAACAUCUAGCUCCAGACGAUUAUUCAGUCUUUGAUGGAUACUACACACCACCUAUUACAAGCAAGCUGCUGCUAAGAUCCUGUAAGACUUUAACUCAUGAAAUUGGACACAUUUUCGGCAUGCAUCACUGCCAAUGGUUACAAUGUGUAAUGCAAGGUUCCAACCAUUUAGAGGAGUCUGACCGACGGCCAAUUGAUCUUUGCCCUAUUUGCCUAAGAAAACUGCAGUGUGCCAUUAACUUUGACAUUAAGGAGAGAUAUAAGGCCUUAUUGAGGUGGAUUGAAGAAGAUUCUGAUCCUGAAUUUUUAGUUAGAGCUAUGCUGGUAUCUCGCAAACCUAUGGAAGCAUUCAAAGAAUGGAAAGAACGGUUGCUGCAGUGUCUGCACCUUUUGGAGGAGUGAAUUUUAAUAAAUGUGAAUCUCUGAAGACAAUGGUCAGGAAGCCCCAAGAGUAAUGUAAAUGGCGAGGCCCAUUUAGCAUCAAAGGCAGUUUAUGAGAUUGAAGAUUGAGCCAGUGUCAGCAGCGACCUUAAGCCUCACAGACCAGGAGCUCUGGCCCAGGUGGGACACCCGGCCCCAUCCACACUGCUUCUACUGGAAAUUUGGUACCAUCACCUACAAGACUGAUUCCUCUCUGCGUAUCCAUCCCAUCAUGUGAAGUUAACACUCUGGAAAAGUGAAUUAUCCAGCAUCAGUUUUCAGAUCCCUGACCUCCAUACAAGAAUAUCUCAUUGGACUUUGUUUCUAGACUCCAGAACCCACGUGAAACAAUAUUUCUUUGCUCUGAGGUCUCUGCACUGUAAAUCUUUCUUUUCUCUAUCCAUCUUUUACUGUACAAAUGCAAAGAAGGCAACGUUGCCACCCUCCUUCUGCAUUUUGUGUCUGUAUAAAUAAACUAACCCUUUUGAGUUCAUCCUAUCUUGAGUUUGCUGUGGGGUUAUUAAUAGAAAAUUGGAUCACACCAAAACCAAGGGGUUGGGAAAUACACCACCACUUAUAAAAGGAGGAGGCAAAUCACAACAUCUUACAGAUGGAUGGUGAGAGGAGAAAUUAGUGCUGUUUAAAUUAACCCCCCUCCUGUCCGUAACAGACCACAGCAAAAGGAAGAACCCUGCCUAGAAAUUCAUCUGCUGACAGAGAAGUGGAGCUAGUUCAUUUCACCUGCAGAAUUAUAUCUUCACUACUAAAGUUCAGCCACAACUUUUACUGGAAAAGCUGUAAAUCUGCAAUUGUAUGGAGUAUACCUUUAUGAGUUUGUCAUCUGAAAACUUCAACCUCCAUUUGUUCUUCAGUGAGCCAAAAGAGAAUUCACAGGUCUGUAAAGCUUGCAGCUACAAUCUUGAAGAACUAGAGUAAUGGUGAUUUCUCAGAUCUUUCUAAAGAUAUCAGUGCAUACUACCUCUUUCUUUUGAAAUAUAUUUUUCUUUUGUGCAUGUCUUGCAUGAAUGAGUUGGUGGGUUUCGCUGCGAAUACAUUUUUGGAUGUUAAGAAAAUAAACAUUUAUUCUUUUAACUUAAA